CAGUCGCCACGGGAAAACGAAGGGGGCUAGCGUUGUUCGGAAUUACUGGGCGUAAAGGGCGCGUAGGCGGCCAUUCAAGUUAGAUGUGAAAGCCCUGGGCUCAACCUAGGAAUUGCAUUUGAUACUGUUUGGCUUGAGUUCGGGAGAGGUGAGUGGAAUUCCCAGUGUAGAGGUGAAAUUCGUAGAUAUUGGGAAGAACACCAGUGGCGAAGGCGGCUCACUGGACCGACACUGACGCUGAGGCGCGAAAGCGUGGGGAGCAAACAGGAUUAGAUACCCGCGUAGUCCCUGUCUCUUAUAA
This 301-nucleotide ribosomal RNA is filed under the name uncultured bacterium. RNAcentral's name for it is "partial 16S ribosomal RNA". It matches the Rfam family "Bacterial small subunit ribosomal RNA", at positions 509 to 809 of the family's 1533-position model. The record is from RNAcentral.